Malania oleifera is the source of this 197-nucleotide small nuclear RNA. RefSeq annotates it as U2 spliceosomal RNA. The transcript has a single exon. Lineage: Eukaryota; Viridiplantae; Streptophyta; Magnoliopsida; Santalales; Ximeniaceae. The record is from RefSeq and is a predicted model, not a curated record.
AUACCUUUCUCGGCCUUUUGGCUAAGAUCAAGUGUAGUAUCUGUUCUUAUCAGUUUAAUAUCUGAUACGUGGACCAUUAGUCCACAUGAUAUUAAAUUAAUUUCUUUUAAGGGGAGGGCCCAUCUCAAUAGCUUGCUAUUGGGGUUCUCAUGCGUUGCUUAGGCGUUGCACUAUAGCCUAGGCUUGGCACACCCCAC